CGACGCCGCGUGGGGAUGAAGGCCUUCGGGUUGUAAACCCUUUCGGCAGGGACGAAGCGAAAGUGACGGUACCUGCAGAAGAAGCGCCGGCUAACUACGUGC
Molecule: ribosomal RNA, 102 nt
Filed under: uncultured bacterium
Lineage: Bacteria
Description: partial 16S ribosomal RNA
Rfam family: Bacterial small subunit ribosomal RNA
Source: RNAcentral